Bos indicus x Bos taurus (hybrid cattle) is the source of this 3210-nucleotide long non-coding RNA. Lineage: Eukaryota; Metazoa; Chordata; Mammalia; Artiodactyla; Bovidae. The record is from Ensembl.
UUCCUCAUUUGUAAAAUGACAGGGCUGGGUUGGAUAACUGGUGCUAUUUAGAGCAAUACAAUUCUCUGGUUCACAGAAAUAUUGUAAAUAUCUAAAGGAAGCCAGUGAAGCAAAGUUGGCUUCUGAGCUGUCACUUAGAAGGAAUUCUUAAACCACAGACCAGUAAGUAGCAAUUUCAGUGAAACAAUCUGUAACUGAAUUUAAAUGACGUUAAAAAAAAAGUCAAAUCCUAUGGGAGUAUGUCUGAGAAUGUUGAAAUGCAUUGGCUAUUUCAACAUGACUUUUUAGUAGUUGUAAUAUUAAUAAUAUCAUCAUAAUAUUAAAAAGAAAGAUAACUCUAGUAGCAUUACUGUACCACAAAUAAAACAUGAAACAAUACGACCCAUAUUAUUAGUCAAUGUGGAUUCUGCUUUUUUCUAAUGCCAUUGCAAAAUGUGUCAUCAGGAAAAGAACAUCUGCUUGAAAGACCUCUGGAAGAACUAAGGCAAUUGGAAUGCUGGAAACUGUGUCUCUAAGGAUUCAGAAGAACUGGAGUAUUACAAGUACUGAUCAGCAUCUUGCUUCCCCACCCCCCAACUUUAUGUUUGGGAGAAUUUCCCGUAUCCCUACAUACAGAUAUGUAUCCUCAUUUUUUUUUUUAAUGGUGAUCCUCCGUUUUGACAUAUUUAUUCAUGUAUUUCUGGCAGGUCUGGGUCUUUGCUGCUGUGCGGGCUUUUCUCCAGGUGUGGUGCUUGGGCUUCUCACUGCAGGGCUGCUCUGUCGCAGGGCACGGGCUCUAAGGCUGGCAGCUUCAGCAGUGAUGCUCACGGGCUCAGCAGCUGCAGCUGCUGGGCUCUAAAGCACAGGCUCAAAAGUUGCGGCACACGGGCUUCGUUGCUCCGUGGCCCGCGGGAUCUUCCUUGAUCAGGGAUAGAACCUGUGUCUCCUGCGUUGGCAGGUGGAUUCUUUACCACUGAGCCACCAGGGAAGCCUCAGUAUACUCACCUUUUUGUACAGAUGUAUAAUCCAUUGUAAGGAUCACCAAAGCUUAUUUAAUUAGUUCACUUUGGUUGGCUGGAUUGUCCCUAAAAAAAAUUUUACACCCAAAAGAAUAAUCUUCAAAAUUUUCAAAUUUAAGUAAACAGGGACAUCAACAUUUUAGGAGAGAUACUGGCUAUGAACUAACCAAUUGGGUUUUAUGUGUAUGUUCCAGUUAAAUAUUAGCCCUGAAAAAUCUUUUUGCAUAUAUCAAAUAUAUCUGUAGACUGUGGAAUCUAUAGAAUCCACAGAUGUAGUCUCAGAAACAGAAUUGCUGGACUAACUGCCAAACUGUCCUUCAUAGGAGUUAUGCCAAUUUAUAUUCUCACUGGAUCUUUCUUUUUAUACAACCUUGUCAAAAGAGAGUUAUCAGACUUUUGCCAAUCAGAUAGCCGAAAAAUAAUAUUUCAGGGUAGUUUUAAUUUUCAUGUUUCUUAAUAUGAAUGAGGUGAAACUGAACAACUUUUUAUAUGUGUAAGGGACAUUUGUGGGCUUUUUUUUCUAGUGGAAAAUUGUUUAUCUCCUUUGCUUAUCAUCCUAUGUUAUUCUAUAGGCUGAUAUCUUUUAUUUUUUCUUGAUUUGUAGGAGGUCUGAUGCAAUAGGGAGAUGAACUUAUUGUUCAGGAUUCGAGUUACAAUCUCUGCCCCUCAGUUAACCAAUUAUCUUUUGACUUUACUUCUGGUGUUUUCAUUCCAUACUGAUUCUUUUUCCCUUUACAACUUCUUGAUUUUAAGUCAAAAUUAGAAAGCCUUCUCCUACUCCAAGAUUGUAAUAGAGCUCUCCAAUGUGUUCAUUUAAUAGUAGUAAAUUUUUCACAUUUAAUUCUAUGAUCUACUUGGAAUUUCUCCUGCUGCCAGCUGGGAGGUAUGAAUCUAACUAUGUUUUCAAACUGUGGUGCUGGAGAAGAGUCUCGAGAGUCCCUUGGACUUCAAGGAGAUGAAACUAGUCAAUUCUAAAGGAAACCAACCUUAAAUAUUCAUUGGAAGGACUGACGCUAAGCUGAAGCUUCAAUACUUUGGCCACCUGACAUGAAGAGCUGACUCACUGGAAAAGACCCUGAUGCUGGGAAAGAUUGAGGGCAGGAGGAGAAGGGGACAACAGAGGAUGAGAUGGUUGGAUGGCAUCACUGGCUCAAUGGACAUGAGUUUGAGCAAACUCAGGGAGAUAGUGAAGGACAGGAAAGCCUGACAUGCUGUAGUCCAUGGGGUCACCAGGAGUCAGACAUGACUGAGCGACUGAACAACAACAAAUAUAGUUUCACUAAAGAUUUCUGCAGUUUGUCUUACACAACAUCAUGGCCAUUUCCUGUACUCAUGAAUAAUUUGCCUGAUACAAAUUUUGUGAUGUAUUUUCUACCCAGUGUCUCUGCACUCAUAAUUGACAUUUGUAACAGACUGCCCAGCUGAUGGGAACAGGCAAUGGCACCCCACUCCAGUACUCUUGCCUGGAAAACCCCAUGGACGGAGGAGCCUGGUAGGCUGCAGUCCAUGGGGUCGCUAAGAGUCGUAUCUGACUUCCCUUUCACUUUUCACUUUCAUGCAUUGGGGAAAGAAAUGGCAGCCCACUCCAGUGUUCUUGCCUGGAGAACCCAGGGACAGGGGAACCUGGUGGGCUGCUGUCUAUGGGGUCACACAGAGUCGGACACGACUGAAGGGACUUAGCAGCAGCAGCAGCAGCCUAGCUGAUAGCUCUUGCCUCCAUUUUCCUUGCCACAGGUCCUAACUUUGCUUGGACAACUAGCCCGCCAUGAUAUGUUAGGGUCAUUAACCUAAGCCUGCUGUUCUUCUUCUCUGGGACUGGCUUCAGUGGUGGCAUGUGACCUCUUUCUAGUCAAUAAGAUGUGGGAAAGGUCUGCUGGAAGGCUUCUGAGAAAAUUUUCUUCUAUUUUAAACUGAGACCAAGAGGGAAAAAAACAAUCCCUCUUCCUCCACUGUGUUUACUUGAGAGUCCCUGGAGAAGGGCAUGGCAACCCACUCCAAUAUUCUUGCCUGGAGAAUUCCAUGGACAGAGGAGCCUGGAAGGCUACAAUCCAUAGGAUCCCAAAGAGUUGGACAUGACUGAAGCAACUUAGCAUGCAUGCCGGGAAGUGGGAGAGCCACCUUCUCCUGUGAGAGGAGCCUGUCAAAGAUGAAGAUGCCUGCUGUGUUUAGCUGAGCAGGACAAUAAAAAGAAUCUGAAUCCUGGUUGCUGUCA